Molecule: ribosomal RNA, 506 nt
Filed under: uncultured bacterium
Lineage: Bacteria
Description: partial 16S ribosomal RNA
Rfam family: Bacterial small subunit ribosomal RNA
Source: RNAcentral
AGUGAACGCUGGCGGUAGGCCUAACACAUGCAAGUCGAACGGCAGCACAGGAGAGCUUGCUCUCUGGGUGGCGAGUGGCGGACGGGUGAGGAAUACAUCGGAAUCUACUCUGUCGUGGGGGAUAACGUAGGGAAACUUACGCUAAUACCGCAUACGACCUACGGGUGAAAGCAGGGGAUCUUCGGACCUUGCGCGAUUGAAUGAGCCGAUGUCGGAUUAGCUAGUUGGCGGGGUAAAGGCCCACCAAGGCGACGAUCCGUAGCUGGUCUGAGAGGAUGAUCAGCCACACUGGAACUGAGACACGGUCCAGACUCCUACGGGAGGCAGCAGUGGGGAGUAUUGGACAAUGGGGGCAACCCUGAUCCAGCAAUGCCGCGUGUGUGAAGAAGGCCUUCGGGUUGUAAAGCACUUUAGGUUGGGAAGAAGGUGUGUUGUUUAAGAGAUGAUACAUUUGACGGUACCAACAGAAUAAGCACCGGCUAACUCUGUGCCAGCCGCCGCGGUAC